Molecule: transfer RNA, 87 nt
Filed under: Planctomyces sp.
Lineage: Bacteria; Pseudomonadati; Planctomycetota; Planctomycetia; Planctomycetales; Planctomycetaceae
Description: tRNA-Ser
Rfam family: tRNA
About the family: Transfer RNA (tRNA) molecules are approximately 80 nucleotides in length. Their secondary structure includes four short double-helical elements and three loops (D, anti-codon, and T loops). Further hydrogen bonds mediate the characteristic L-shaped molecular structure. tRNAs have two regions of fundamental functional importance: the anti-codon, which is responsible for specific mRNA codon recognition, and the 3' end, to which the tRNAs corresponding amino acid is attached (by aminoacyl-tRNA synthetases). tRNAs cope with the degeneracy of the genetic code in two manners: having more than one tRNA (with a specific anti-codon) for a particular amino acid; and 'wobble' base-pairing, i.e. permitting non-standard base-pairing at the 3rd anti-codon position.
Source: RNAcentral
GGAGAGGUGCCGGAGUGGCCGAACGGGCCGGUCUCGAAAACCGGUAAACCCGCAAGGGUUUCGGGGGUUCGAAUCCCCCCCUCUCCG